GCCUUCGUGGUGUAGGGGUCAGCACGCUCGACAUUUAUUCGAGAGGUCCGUGGUUCGAAUCCUGGCGAGGGCA
Molecule: transfer RNA, 73 nt
Filed under: Stegodyphus mimosarum
Lineage: Eukaryota; Metazoa; Arthropoda; Arachnida; Araneae; Eresidae
Description: tRNA-Lys for anticodon UUU
Rfam family: tRNA
About the family: Transfer RNA (tRNA) molecules are approximately 80 nucleotides in length. Their secondary structure includes four short double-helical elements and three loops (D, anti-codon, and T loops).
Source: Rfam by way of RNAcentral